RNAcentral lists this ribosomal RNA (385 nucleotides) under uncultured Oscillibacter sp. RNAcentral describes it as "bacterial SSU rRNA". It matches the Rfam family "Bacterial small subunit ribosomal RNA", at positions 355 to 755 of the family's 1533-position model. The record is from RNAcentral. Lineage: Bacteria; Bacillati; Bacillota; Clostridia; Eubacteriales; Oscillospiraceae.
UGGGGAAUAUUGGGCAAUGGACGCAAGUCUGACCCAGCAACGCCGCGUGAAGGAAGAAGGCUUUCGGGUUGUAAACUUCUUUUAAGGGGGAAGAGCAGAAGACGGUACCCCUUGAAUAAGCCACGGCUAACUACGUGCCAGCAGCCGCGGUAAUACGUAGGUGGCAAGCGUUGUCCGGAUUUACUGGGUGUAAAGGGCGUGUAGGCGGGAUUGCAGGUCAGAUGUGAAAUACCGGGGCUUAACCCCGGAGCUGCAUUUGAAACCGCAGUUCUUGAGUAUCGGAGAGGCAGGCGGAAUUCCUAGUGUAGCGGUGAAAUGCGUAGAUAUUAGGAGGAACACCAGUGGCGAAGGCGGCCUGCUGGACGACAACUGACGCUGAGGCGCG